Molecule: transfer RNA, 73 nt
Filed under: Candidatus Nealsoniibacteriota bacterium
Lineage: Bacteria; Candidatus Nealsoniibacteriota
Description: Candidatus Nealsonbacteria bacterium tRNA-Arg
Rfam family: tRNA
About the family: Transfer RNA (tRNA) molecules are approximately 80 nucleotides in length. Their secondary structure includes four short double-helical elements and three loops (D, anti-codon, and T loops).
Source: RNAcentral
GUCCCCAUAGCUCAACAGGAUAGAGUAUAGGCUUCCGGAGCCCAAGAUAUAGGUUCAAAUCCUAUUGGGGACA